GGCCUCGUGGUCUAGUGGUAUGAUUCUCGCUUCGGGUGCAGGAGGUCCCGGGUUCGAUUCCGGUGAGGCCC
Molecule: transfer RNA, 71 nt
Filed under: Phytophthora infestans (potato late blight agent)
Lineage: Eukaryota; Oomycota; Peronosporomycetes; Peronosporales; Peronosporaceae
Description: tRNA-Pro
Rfam family: tRNA
About the family: Transfer RNA (tRNA) molecules are approximately 80 nucleotides in length. Their secondary structure includes four short double-helical elements and three loops (D, anti-codon, and T loops).
Source: RNAcentral